GGAAGAUCAUCGUCCCCGGUGGGGCGGCCGGACUUCAAAUCCGGUUGGGGCCGCCAGCGGUCCCGGGCAGGUUCGACUCCUGUGAUCUCCGCCA
RNAcentral lists this transfer RNA (94 nucleotides) under Morganella morganii. Its description in RNAcentral is "tRNA-Sec". It matches the Rfam family "Selenocysteine transfer RNA". Lineage: Bacteria; Pseudomonadati; Pseudomonadota; Gammaproteobacteria; Enterobacterales; Morganellaceae. RNAcentral also lists the same sequence under 2 other names. The record is from RNAcentral.